UGCUGGAUCAUUACAGUUUCAUACCUUGACGAACACACUAAUUUAGUGUGGUGGGUUGAUAUCUAUGCUUUUUGAUAUCACCCAAAAAAGUCCAUAAAGUUGACAUGACGGUUUUGGCUUGCUUCGGUCAAACUAUUGUGGCAACGAUCAUUGCCUUACGUCCCGGCAUUGAUCAGUCUUGUUUAUGGGCGAAAAACGGCUUCUCUUGGCUUCUAGGCAUUGCUGAGCAACUGUUGUCUUUCGUCCGUGGUUGUGUUGAAGCAUGCGUAACGCUCCAUCGCUACUCGACUGUACGAUGUGAGUGAGAAUUAAUGAGUGCCAGUAAGGUGCCGCCAAGAACAAACAAUUUUCAACAAUUUUUCGAGUGAAUGAAAGUAUCUAGUCUUAUCGGUGGAUCACUCGGUUCGUAGGUCGAUGAAGAACGCAGCCAACUGCGAUAACUAGUGCGAACUGCAGAUAUUUUGAGCACUAAGAUUUCGAAUGCACAUUGCGCCAUUGGAUUCAUAUCCUUUGGCACAUCUGGUUCAGGGUUGUAAAUAAAAAACGAAAGCCUCCUUCGUUUUCAAUGAUCGCUGGAUCACCUGACGCAAUCUUCAGCUGUCUUCUGCUGUUGAGCUCGUCGCGGUGUUCUUGUGUGUUUGAAUGCAAAUGUAAAGGCGGCUAGUUGAUGCUUUUGGUGUCGGGUCACUGCUUGUUUCGAUCUGUCCUAAUCGUAUCGCUAUGCUUCCACGUUACAUUCAUUUUGCAACCUGAACUCAGGUGUGAGUACCUGCUGAACUUAAGCAUAUCAGUAAGCAGAGGAAAAGAAACUAACAAGGAUUCCCGUAGUAACGGCGAGUGAAUUGGGAAAAGUCCAGCGCUGAAUCUUAAUGUGUUGAGCAUUUAGAACUGUAGCGUAUAGACGGUGUAUUCCUAAGUUGGUGGCAGUUUAAAUCUCCCUUGACUGGGGUUCCAGAGAAGGUGAAAGGCCUGUUGAACUGCUGCCGGCUGUGGAGUCAACUGUCUUGGAGUCGGGUUGUUUGGGAACGCAGCCCAAAGAAGGUGGUAAACUUCAUCUAAGACUAAAUAUGACUACGAAACCGAUAGCGAACAAGUACCGUGAGGGAAAGUUGCAAAGCACUUUGAAGAGAGAGUUAAAGAGGACGUGAAACCGAUAAGGUGGAAACGGAUAGAGCCAACGUAUCUGGCUUGCAUUCAGCUGUUAUAUGGGUUCGGACUGGCCUGGCGAUCCUGCUUCUGGUUGCCUCGUAGGUCGUAAGUAGCUCAAAUGGUAGUGCAUUUGCAAGUGGAGUGCGCUGAGGUGUGUGGAGCAGCGAUUCGAUCUUUGUCUUGAGGACACUUUAUGUGAACCCCAGGCGCUGGGAAAAUUGUUUGCUCUGCAUUACCGCCAAAGGAGAGGCCUCUGGUGAAUUGGAGUUUAAUCGCGUGGACUGCUUGUAACGGCCGCAUGCGACGCGUGCUCGUUGUCUAUGUGAUUGGAUUUCAUUUCCCUUCUCCGGUGGAUCUCGGUGUAAAAGUUGGUCAUCUAUCCGACCCGUCUUGAAACACGGACCAAGGAGUUUAGCGUAUGCGCGAGUCAUUGAGUGUUGAAACUCAAAGGCGUAAUGAAAGUGAAUUGAAAAUGAUAUGCGAUCCUGUAUGCCUCGGCGUGCGGGAGCAGCAUAGCCCCGUCCCGAUCGCUUGCGAUGGGGCGGAGGUAGAGCGUAUUCGCUGAGACCCGAAAGAUGGUGAACUAUUCCUGAGCAGGAUGAAGCCAGAGGAAACUCUGGUGGAAGUCCGAAGCGGUUCUGACGUGCAAAUCGAUCGUCUGACUUGGGUAUAGGGGCGAAAGACUAAUCGAACCAUCUAGUAGCUGGUUCCCUC
RNAcentral lists this unclassified non-coding RNA (1863 nucleotides) under uncultured fungus. RNAcentral's name for it is "sequence contains 18S rRNA gene, ITS1, 5.8S rRNA gene, ITS2, 28S rRNA gene". The stretch from base 746 to 1863 matches the Rfam family "Eukaryotic large subunit ribosomal RNA", at positions 1 to 961 of the family's 3401-position model. The record is from RNAcentral. Lineage: Eukaryota; Fungi.